This is a long non-coding RNA of Prinia subflava (tawny-flanked prinia), 3169 nucleotides long. RefSeq lists it as uncharacterized. The record is from RefSeq and is a predicted model, not a curated record. NCBI's taxonomy places the organism in Eukaryota, Metazoa, Chordata, Aves, Passeriformes, Cisticolidae. The transcript is spliced from 4 exons.
AGUUCUUUUCUGAGAAACUCCAGUAGUGUCCCCCAGAAGAAAGAAAAUCCUAAUAAAGCAAAGUAAAAACUAUCAUAGUGUUUCAAAGUCACCCAUACAUUGAUACAACCUAAAAAAAUUUGACAUUGCUACAUGCAUACAUUAACUAGACUUGCAUUUAAACACAACUAUGGCAGACAACAGCUAGAACAAGUUUUCCUGCUUAUCUUCAUUAAGUUAGAGGGAGAAUCCCAUUUGACUUUGAUUAAAAUGAUUUAUUCUUUAGAACUCACUCAAACCCUACACCACAACAGUAAAUUUGAACCCACUUGUCUUUGCCCUCAGCCACAGCAGCACAGUAACAACAAAAUGGCUGCCUCAGCUUCCCACUCAACCCUGCCACCACUGCUCACAACAAUCAUUUCCUUCUUCCCCACCAUCACUAGUGGAAGAGUUCACCUCACUUCAGCUGGGUAUGUGAGUUACAUGUGCAGAAAUGUACACAGCACUGCUUUUAUUUAACUUCUUUGUUGUGAAUCAGCAGGGGGAGUAAGCACAGCCCAAUCCCCAGAAGGGACUUUCCAGAGUGCUUUUCCUGACCAGCACUCUGGCAUUCGGGACCAUCACUGGUUCUUCAGCAGCUCCUCAUCUGUUCUGCUAACACGCGAGAGGAUCACAGCAAACAACACAGCCGGCAAAGACUUCUCCUACCACUGGAGCUAAUGGAAGUACAAACUUCAACCCUUCCUCUACUCCAUCUCAACGCCCCCCAGAAACAAUCGGGGACAAGAACCAAAUUACAUUGUAUGUAGUCUUUUAUUUUUCAAAUUACACCUAUUAAAAAAGCUACAGUGAUGUAACUACAAAAAACCUGAAGUAUCAGUUCUUGGAGAGGUUUUUUAAAACACCUUAGUUCUGAAUAACUGAGCACCUAAACUAACUCUUUAGAACUACAAUGUUAAGAGCUUUACAGCAAACACAACUUCACAACUUCUCAAAAAAAUCCGUUUUUCUUGUAUCCCUACAGUCAUUUCUCAUUAAAGAUUUUAUCGUGAAACACUGUGCACUUUAGCAUGCAAUCAAGACAUGAUAAAGAACUAAUAAAAUAAAAAUAAUGUUGAUAUUAUAAGCCUAAUAUUCCAAAGCACAGUAAUUGUUAAAAUCAAAACUCAUACAUCUUACUGGACAAAUAACCCAUCAGGAACAAAGCAUAAUGUUCCACAAACCUGUGUAUUGUUAUAAUGGAUGUUGCCCAUAUAUUUUAAGUAUUACAACCAAGAAAAAAAAACAAAACACCACUAAACUGAUAACCUAAGUAACAUCAUAUAAUCAGGAAAAAAUGGAGCUUUAAAAUGAGAAAGCCCUCACAUCUUUGCUGAUAACAGCAUUCCAGGCCAGAGCAACUCUUACAACUACCCAUGCCCCUAAAGGAAGCUACACCUAUUUAUUUCAUCAGAACCAAAACCAGAAUCAAGGUCUACACUAGGAACAGAUAGAACUACAGUAGAAAUUAAUUUAGCCACUGUAAAAGCCUGUUCUCUCAGCCCCUUCAGACUAACAUUCAUGUUCACUUUUUCUAUACUGUUACAUAGGUUAAAAUACCAGAUUUUAAAGCAUCCAUGAAGCCUCUCAAUGACUACAAGAUAUACAUGAACUCCUUGGUGUUCAGACAGUUGGAAACUUUACAUCCCUCGAUUAGUCUAAUAUGCGGUAAUUAAUAUUGGGUGGUGCAGGCUAUCCUAGCAGAAAUCUGCUCUGGUUUUCAUUCUUACAGGACACAGACAGCUUUAAGCGAAUCCUGUAAGAAAACAAAAUAUUCUGGUGGACAGUGCUGUAUACAAAACAGAACCUUCUCCCCGCCUGCCCUCCAUCUCCAGCCAAUUUCGACACUGCAAUUGCCUAUCCCUGCACAAAUGAGGCUGCCGCGUGCAUGACGGGUAAGGCGCAGUUGUUGGUGCCAGCACCACCCACCCGCGGAAGCCUCUGCUACUGAACCGUCUGGUUCAUUCCCCUCCCUCACGUGUAAACGGUCAUUAAGGGCUUCCACAAAAAAAAAAAAAAAAAAAAAAAAAAGUUUAAAAAAAAAAAAAAAAGUGCUUUAUACACCGCAGGAUGGAAUUGCUAUAGCGACGACCUGGCUCCAAGUUUUCACCUCCCCUCUUUGUUUACCACGCCUUGCCGCUUUCAGCCUGGGAGGAAUCGCAUCUACGAGCGAAACCGAAUCCUCCCAGGCCUGCACGUGGGGCAGACAAUGGCACCGGGAGGGAGUUCACUGCCAGUGUGAUUCAGCCCAGAGUUGCCUGUCCUGGGAGGCUUCUGAAGGCUCUUGGGCCGUGUUGGCAGCCAGGCUGUGAGCCAGGAGCGCUGGACUUGGGUUGAGAGAAUUCCCUUUACUGUUAAAGACAACAUUUAAUGAUGACAGAAGAUUAAAUGGCCUGUGCAGAAUCUUUUGCCUCUGGAGCCACCAGUACACACCUAGGAAGGCAGCAAAAGCCCCAGGAUUUUCUAACAUCAGGCACAGCUUGGAACACAGCCUAAUGGCCGAGUCUCUCUUUGGCUGCUCUGUUUUUGGACUCCUGCAAACUGUGGCACCUGCACCAUGUCAGGCCAGCAAAGCUUUGGUUACAAUCCAUGGAGCACCCAGCACCCCUCCCCUUGAUUCUGACCCUGUUACCUGGUGAUUGAUCCCUGCAGCUCCUGCACCACCUGAAAGGACACAGCCGUUCCCUCUCCAGCCCCCUCAGGCUUUGGCUGUGUGAGCUGCCAGUCGUAGUGAACAACUCCACACAAAUCCAUCCAUCCUCUGUGCCCUGAGUAUUAUCCUCAUCUUUGUCAUCUGGCUACUCAGAUUGUAUUUAGGUUUUUCAAGGCCACUGCUGUUUCUUCAUUCAUAAUUGCUUAGGAAGCAAUCAGAAGCUUAUGCUGUUUCACAAACUGAUGGUAUUUUACCCAGCAAUUUUUUUGCUACAGCCAACUGUUCAAACCCAACUGGCACAGGACAAAUGAAAAAAUAAUACAACUGUAAUAUUUGUAAUAAAAAUGCAAUCUGUAAAGAAGGAAGAGAAUGUUGAGGGGCAAACUGAAGGCACCACUGAAACCAUUCCCAUUUCCCUCUGUCACCUUUCCAGCUCCUUAUGUUGCUGGGAAGCACACAGACAGACUCUGCUUUGAGCAUUCCCACAGUGAUUUU